Molecule: long non-coding RNA, 1990 nt
Filed under: Marmota monax (woodchuck)
Lineage: Eukaryota; Metazoa; Chordata; Mammalia; Rodentia; Sciuridae
Source: RNAcentral
AUUUUUUUAGUUGUUAACAGACCUUUUAUUUAUUUAUAUGCAGUGCUAAAAAUCAAACCCAGGGCCUCACAGAGCUAGGCAAGCACUCUACCACUGAGCCACAACUCCAGCCCAUGGAACUGAUUUUAACAGCCUCCAGGAGAUAAUUCACAAGCAGAAGAAUGGGUUCAAAGUGUGUAAUUCUGUGUUUCUGGGAUGUUCAUGCUGCACUGCCAUUACCACCAUCUAAUGUUUGAUUACGUUCACCCAAAUUAAGCAGCUUCUUUCCUAAAAAGCAGUCCCCCAUUCUCCAAAUGCUGGGUGACCGAGGUCCACUUCCUGCUUCCAUCUCCAGUCCUCUUCCUGUCUCCUGGUGGGUGAACUCACCAGUUCAUGUCCUGGGUUGACCUCUGGUCACUUACCAUCUCUACUGGUCCACUUUCUGGGUGACCGCCAGUCACUUCCAGUCUCCUCUGAUCACUGGUCCAGUACCAAGGGUAACCAGGUCCACUUCCUAUCUCCAAGGGUGACACCAGUUCAUUUCCCAUAUCAAUGUAGGGGAAACUGGUCCACUUACUGCUUCCACAGGUGAUCACUUUCUGUCCCCAUGGAGGAAGACUGGUUCACCCCAAGGGUGACCACUGGUCCACUUCUUAUCCAUACAGGUGACCUCUGGUCUCCUGGAUUUCUUUCUCCAUGGGUUUGCCAUUCUGGACACACUAAUGUUUCACUGGUAUAGUGUUUUCUUUCUUCCUUUUUUACAAAAAUAUAUUCAGUUGUCAAUGAACCUUUAUUUAUUUAUUUAUUUGUUUAUUUAUUUAUGUGGUGCUGAGAAUCAAACCAGGUGCCUUACGCAUUCCAAGCAAGCACUCUACCUCUGAGCCACAAACCCAGCCCUCUUUCUUCCUUUUUUAAUUGGUGCAUUUUAAUUACACAGUAGUGGAAUUGGCUGCUAAAUAUUCGUACAUGCAUACAUUAUAACAGUAAUUUGGUCAAUUUUGUUCCCAGUUCCUCCCUGUGUUAGUCAACUUUUCAUGUCCAAAAUAUCCCACAUGAACAACUUAGGAGGGAAAGUUUAUUUUAGCUCAUGGUUCCAGAGAUUAAGUCUAUGGUAGGUCGACUUCAUUGCUCUGGGCCAAAGGUGAAGCAGGAUCAUGGUGGAAGGCACAGGGAUGGGAAGCUGCUAAAUUCAUGUUAGCCAGAAAGGGACACACACACACACACAUGGGGGGGGGGAUGCCAUGGGGAACUUGAACCCUUCCAGGACAUGCCCCCAGGGACCCAUCUCCUCCAGCCCUGCCCUACCUGCCUACAGUUACCACCUGUCAGUUCAUUCAAACUAGGAUGGACUGAUUAGCUCUCACAACCAAUCAUUUCAUCUCUUAUUCCUGCAUCAACACAGGAGCUUUUGAGGGAUACUUCAUAUCCAAACCAUAGCACUUCCCUUUCCCUCCCUCCUCCAUUCCCCUACUUUAUUGGUUUCCCUUCUAUUAUCAUGAGUUCCUCCCCAUCUUUCCCCCCCCCCUUUUUUUUCUUUGUAGCUUCCAGGUGAAAGAAGACAUAUAACCCUUGACUCCCAGUUUGCCUUACUUCACUUAACAAAAACUAGCAAAAAUGUUUUGGACGUUCAUUCACAUUGCAGCAUGCAUCAGUAGUUUGUAUGGAUAAACCACGUUGUGUGUCCACUCAUCUGCUGAUGGACAGCUGGGUUGUUUCCACAGUCUGACGUAUUACUUGUUAAUAAUGUUGCUGUAACAUUGGUGUGCAAGUUGCAUAGACCCACCUGGCAAUUCUCUUAGGUACACACCUAGAGUGGAAUGUUAAAUUCUGUUCAACAGGGAGCACCCACUAGCCUGCUUUCCAAAGUGAAGGCAUGGUUUGGUGUUCCCACCAGUAGCAUGUAAGGACUGCAGUUCCUCCACAGCCCCCUAUGCUUAUUCCAGCCAUAAAGGCAUGUGAAAUAGGACCUCUCUCAUUGGGUGUGGGAUUGCAUUUUCUUGGUGACUAAUGA